Molecule: long non-coding RNA, 5782 nt
Filed under: Olea europaea (common olive)
Lineage: Eukaryota; Viridiplantae; Streptophyta; Magnoliopsida; Lamiales; Oleaceae
Description: long non-coding RNA (OEUR_LNC014969)
Source: RNAcentral
CCGUGAAGAAGAAUCUAGAAGGCUGAUCUUUUAAUUCCAAAACAUGUUUUUGACCAUAAGGAGCGUUUUUUCUUUGGAUCAAUGACAAGUGGCAAAUUGGUGGACGUUGGAUCCUUACCUUUCAUAUAAAUAGGAAGCCUCAGAUUUUUUAGGAUUAACGAUUAGUAUUCUGUGGUUUUUUCUUGGCUGCGUGCCUUUCAUCUUCUCCGUUCUAAUCUUGUGAUUUCUUUGAAAAUACUUAGUGUGAUUUUGGGAGAAUUGGUAGAUAAACUCUUGUGUGAGUUCUACUAUGGGAAGAUUGUGUUGUAUUUGUGAUUUGGGAACUUUGUAUUCUGUAACUUGAUCUUUGCCUAUUUUUGGCCGAUUUAGUGGAUUCGAGCUUAAUCCUUAUGGAUGCUCAACGGGGGACUAAGUGUUAGAAGAGGUCGCUGAACCUCCGGGACUUUUUGGCCGAAAAAUCUCUCGUGUUCUUAUUUUCUGUUCUAUUUUGAGAAAAUUUAGAUUUUUUGUGUUGAGUAUUUUUGAUAUAAAUUCGAUUUUGGAACUACAGUGGUAUCAAAGCUUGAAGUUUGUUUUUUUUUUUUUUUAAAUUCAGUUUUCUCAAAACUUGAUUUCUGAAACUCGAAUCUCAAAGGGGGAUUCGCUCGGCCUAAAGAAAACGAGCAGAUCUGAACAUUCGAAAAUUUUUUCUUGGGUGCUUCUGUCAUUAUUUUUGUAUAUCUUCAAGGAGUUUUUUUUAAUCCUGCAGUAUUUCUUGCUAGUAGUUUUCUUUUAAAAGAAAAAGGAGGUUGGUUCGACUUGAUCUACUCUACAUUUGCCUUUGUCUUAGGUUCCUUAAGAGAACCCUAGAAUUAGAGGAAAUCCAGGGAUUCCUCGAUUCAAGAAACCAGAAUGUCCAAUUUUCUAAAAUUCUCGUUAGUUUAAUACUAUGUGUAUCUUUUAUAACUUGAAUUUAUAUUUCUUUAUAAACUGCUGGAUGAUAUUAACCGUGUGAUUUUUCUAUUAUUAUUAUUAUUAUUAUUAUUAUUAUUAUUAUUAUUAUUAUUAUUAUUUUGAACUUUGUGUUCAAUUAGGAAAUAUUGCUCUUGUGAAGGUAUACCUGUAGAGAACUUUCCUUUCUGAUUACUUAGUGUAAGUAUACUUUUUUGGCCCUAUAAUAUUUCUGCAUUGUAUGCUAUUUGGAAUCCUUGUUGUUAAAUCUUACUGCAUUGUGAUUGACAUAUACUGUAUUGACUUGUGUGACAAAUUACUGUACAUAUCACACUUGAGCACAAUUCACAUAUUGUUGCUUACUAUGAAUUCAAAAGUAGAUGUUUAGAUUUGGGAUGGCAAAUGAGACUUUAGUCUCUGGCGCCAGAAAAUUAAGGCCUUAUUGUUACAAUUAAAAUGUGCUAAAGUUGUUGAUGAAUCUUGGCCUGAAAACCUACCUGAAAAUAGAAAAACUAAUCAAGAUGAGCUAGCUUAGAGUACUAUAUUCUUACACUUAUCUGACUCUGUAAUCAGAAAAGUAGGAGAAACUAAGACUGCUGCAGAAUUAUGGACAGCCUUAGAAAAACAGUACCUAACUAAGUCUUUACCAAAUAAAUGUUUUCUAUGGAGGCAAUUCUUUAGUUUUAAGUUUGAUCCUAAUCUUGAUACAGAAAAAAACAUGGACAAAUUUAAUAAAAUCACUCAAGAUCUUAUAAAUUGUGAAGAAAAGAUCUCUGAUGAGCAAAAGGUAGUAGGUCUACUAAAUGCCUUAGGGGACAAAUAUAAAGACAUAAGAAAUGCCUUGGAAUAUAGUAGGAGUGACUUGACGGUUGAAAUUAUCCAUAGCUCUCUUUUGCAUAAGGACCUAGAACUAAAAUCUAAACGUAAGGAGGCAUUUCAUGUUGAAAAUGCCCUUGCAAAUCAAAAGUCUCAAACUAAUGGUGUUAGUAAUUUUAGUCAAUCUAAUCACAACAAGGACAGAAAUUUUGUAAAAAGGAAAUGGGCCAAUAAAAGUAAAGGAAAGGACAAGAAAUUUAAUAAGACCAAGGCAAAAAACAAAAAGUGCUAUUAUUGUGGGAAGUUGGGUCAUUUUAUCAAAGAUUGCUUUAAAAAAGCCAAUGACCAAAAAAAUAAUCCCAAUUUUGAGAUUGGGUCAUCAUCCAUGGCUAUCCCCUACAAAGAAGCAGGAGCCAACAUUGGGGUUGCUUCUGUAUCUGUUACUAAAAGGACUAAUCAGAACUGGGUUCUGGAUUCAGGUUGUUCCUUUCAUAUGACUCCCAAUAAAGGUUGGUUCUCUGACUUCUCUGACCUUAAUGAAGGCUUUGUAAAACUUGGUAAUAAUGGAUCAUGCCAAAUUAGAGGCAUAGGUAAUAUCCUUCUGAAAUUAGAAUCUGGCAAUUACUUAAUACUGAAACAUACAAGAUAUGUGCAAGCACUAAGUAGGAAUUUAAUCUCCCUAAGUGUUCUUGAUGAUGAGAAUUAUUAUGUUGAAAUCAAGAAUGGUUUUUACAAAUAUAAUCAGAGAUCAAAAGCCCAUUAUUAGUGCCCCAAAAUUAAAGGAAUUUAUGUUAUUGACACUGAACCUAAUCCAAAGAAUGAUCUUGUGAGUCUUGUUGCACAUUCUGACAAGUCAGAACUCUGGCACAAGAGACUUAGCCAUCUUGGUGAAAAGGGUCUAAAAUCCCUCUCUCAUCAAGGGGCUUUUGGAAAGGACAAUGUUCAAAAACUAACCUUUUGUGAACAUUGUAUUUUGGGAAAACAGGUAAGGUUGCCUUUUAGGGUAGGUAUACACAAGUCUCAAAAUAUUUUGGAAUAUAUACACAGUGACUUGUGGGGUCCUACACCAGUGUCUAUCGUGUGUGGGUAUAGAUAUUACCUAUUAAUCAUAGAUGAUUAUUCCAGGAAGUCCUGGAUUUUCUUGCUUUAAUCAAAAUCUGAUACUUUUGUAAUCUUCAAACAAUGGUGUACAUUAAUUGAAAACCAAACAAGCAAGAAGAUUAAGACACUUAGAACUGAUAAUGGGUUGGAGUUCUGCAGUACAGAAUUUGAUCAAUUCUGUAGCAAUCAAGGCAUAUUGAGACAUAAAAAAGUUACCUAUAGCCCCAGCAAAAUGAGGUUGCUGAGAGAUUAAAUAGAACUGUUCUUGAGAGGACCAGGUCUAGGCUGAUUAGUUCUAGCAUGCCUAAAAUAUUUUGAGGGGAAGCUAUAAAGACAGUCUGUUACUUGUUGAAUAGAUGCCUCUCUAGUUCCUUAGAUAACAGAAUCCCUGAACAAAUCUAGUUUGGUUCUAUGCCUGACUACUCCCAUCUCAAAACCUUUGGUUGUACUGCAUAUGCACACCAUUAUGACUCAAAAUUGGAUCCUAGGCCACAAAAGGGUGUCUUCUUAGGAUAUGGAGAGGGAGUUAAAGGCUAUAGACUUUCAUUAAGGGAUACUAGAGGUUAUAAGGUGAUAAUAAGUAGGUUUGUGAUUUUCAAUGAGGAUGAAUUUCCAUGUCUCAGUGACAAAACCCAUGAAAACAUAAAGGAUGAUGACCUUAUUAUCACAGAAAUUGAGUUGAAUAAGGAAAACACUGAUGGGCAAACUCAGUUUGAGGUGGAGCAGCCUCAAACAGAGCUUAAUGACAUUUCAUAUGCUGAAAUUCUGAAUGAUAACCAGGAAUUAAGCCCAACACAUGAGUUGCAAAAUUAUCAGCUUGCAAGAGAUGGGGAAAGGAAGGAAAUAAGACCUCCCUCCAGAUAUCAAUAUGCAGAUUGUUUAUCUGCUGAAACAGAUUUUGACCCCUCUGAUCUUGAACUUACCUCCUAUGAGGAUGCAGUACCUUGUAAAGAGUCAUCAAAACGGAUAGAAGCCGUGGAUGAUGAAAUAAACUCUUUGCAUAAAAACAAAACUUGGGAAUUGGUUAAGAAACCUGAAGAAUGUAAAUUGGUUGACUGUAAAUGGGUAUAUAAGAUUAAAGAAGGAGAUUCAAAUAUAUCUAAUAAAAGAUAUAAGGCAAAGCUUGUAGUUAAAGGCUUCACUCAAAGAGAAGAGAUAGACUAUACCAAAAUCUUCUCACCUGUAGUUAAAUAUACCUCUAUUAGAAUUCUCCUUGCCAUUGUUACUCAGUUUGAUAUGGAAUUGAAGCAAUUUGAUGUAAAGACUGCCUUCUUGUAUGGUUCUUUAGAUGAAACCAUAUAUAUUACACAACCCAAAUGUUUUGAGGUAAAAAAUAAAGGUAAUCUAGUGUGUCUUCUAAAUAAAUCACUAUAUGGCUUAAAACAAGCUCAUAGGCAAUGGUAUAAGAGAUUUGAUUCUUUUAUACAAGGCCUAGAGUUCAAGAAAUCAGACUUUGAUCAUUGUUUUUAUUUUAAGAAGAAUAGUGAUUCUGAAUUCUUUUACCUCCUUUUAUAUGUUAAUGAUAUGUUGUUGGCUGGUCAUAAUUCUGUUACAUUUAAUUCCAUAAAAGAAAAAUUGAAAUUGGAAUUUGAAAUGACGGAUCUAGGUCCUGCAAGAAAGAUUUUAGGCAUGGAAAUUAUAAGAGACAGAAUAAAUGAAAAGUUAAUUUUAACUCAGAAAUCUUACAUUGAAAAAGUGGUUAAAAGAUUUUUCCUUGAGGAUGCCAAGUCUGUCAGUUUACCAUUGUCUACUUGCAUGAAGUUAUCCGUUGAACAAUCACUUAAGACAGAAGAACAAUUUAAAAGAAUGACAAGUGUGCCUUAUGCUAAUGCUGUUGGAUCAGUUAUGUAUGUAAUGGUAUGUAUUAGACCUGAUAUACAAUAUGCUGUAAGUGUAUUAAGUAGAUUCAUGAUUAAUCCAGGUGAAUUUCAUUGGGAAUGUAUGGAAAACCUGAUUAAAUAUUUGAAAGGGACAUGUAAUCUAGGACUUAUGUUUAAAGCAAGUAAAGAUGGUUUUAUACUAAAAGGUUAUGUUGAUUCAGAUUUUGCUGGAAACAUUGAUAAUAGAAAGUCUACUUCUACAUACUUUUAUGUCAUAAAUAAUACUUGCAUUAGUUGGAAGUCACAACUUCAGAAAAUAGUUGCCUUAUCCUCUACUGAGGCAGAAUAUAUUGCUGCCACUAAAACUGUUAAAGAGGGACUGCGGCUUAAAGAACUGUUAAAUGAAUUAGGUCAUAUAGAAAGUCAGGUGGAGUUAUGUUCUAACAAUCAAAGUGCUAUUUUCUUAAGUAAAAAUCCAGUUUUUCAUGAUAGGUCAAAGCACAUUGAUGUUAAAUUUCAUUUCAUUAGAGAUAUAAUUGAUAAAGGUGAUAUUAAACUGAUAAAAAUACCCACUAAGGUAAAUCCUACUGAUGUUGGGACAAAGGUAGUACCACUUUGUAAGUUUUCAGAUUGUUUGAGAUUAUUAAGUCUCGAAACUUGCUAAUAAUUUUUUUUUCAAGUGACUAGAGCAAAUGAAAUAAAAGACUAAGUUAGAAUCCGCAUACAUGCAGGCACAAAAUACAGUAAAGGUGGAGAUUGUAAGUUGUUGGGUUGUUGCAUUUUGUAAUGUGAGCCUAUUUUUGUCAAGACUAUUGAAUUGAUCCCAAAUAAAUGGCCCAAUAUCAUGACCGGUGAAGAAGAAUCUGGAAGGCUGAUCUUUUAACUCCAAAACGUGUUUUUUGACCAUAAGGAGCGUUUUUUCUUUCGAUCAAUGACAAGUGGCAAACUGGUGGACAUCGGAUCCUUACCUUUCAUAUAAAUAGGAAGCCUCAAAUUUUUUAGGGUUAACGAUUAGUAUUCUGUGGUUUUUUCUUGGCUGCGUGCCUUUCAUCUUCUCCGUUCUAAUCUUGUGAUUUCUCUUAAAAUACAAAGUAUGAUUUUGGAAGAAUUGGUAG